GUUUGCCCAAUUUUCAGGGUUGAAUGGUAGAUAAAACCCUGUAAAAAUGUGCUUCACUAACUGAAGAGCCCCUUAAAUCAGUAACGGUUCAAGCAUUUGACUUCAUCUUUGUACUAUCUGAGGAGCACCCACCACUGUUGGUAGCUUUUGCUGUUUGCUUCAAAAACUGGAUAAUACUUAGCAGCAUUGGAGAGCUCUCUCAAGGGCUAGGAUUGCUCAUAUACUUUUUAUAUAUAUGAUGGUGUAUCUAGCUAAGUGUUCUAUCCAUUUUUUUUAAUCUUGCUAUUUUUGCCUUUUCUUAGUAUUUGAUUUCGU
Molecule: unclassified non-coding RNA, 315 nt
Filed under: Hevea brasiliensis (rubber tree)
Lineage: Eukaryota; Viridiplantae; Streptophyta; Magnoliopsida; Malpighiales; Euphorbiaceae
Source: RNAcentral